UGUGACAACUGUGACAUUCCUGUAGUUUCCGAGGCACUGCAUGCCUCAGUUAAAAAAAUCGAGUGGAAAUUUUACAACUAAUGUCCUCUUUAAUGUAACCAAGAGUACAGUUGAUUCUAUUGUCCCUAUCGGAGAACUCCUGCUCCAGGUAAAAUUAACAUUUGACGUCCAGAAAGCUGUAUGCCAUGAAAAUGACAGAAAUGACUUGGUGGGAUGUCAGCUGGAAAGUCCCUAAGAUACUAAAGCUGCUACUUGCACCAGCCAAGUCAUGUUUGAAGCUGGCGAGAUCCAGAGUGUUACAGUAGAAUGCAGUGAACCAACAACAGUGUGUCCCACCCAACACCAUCGACAACAUCAACUCCAACAUCAUUGUUAACUGCAACAUCAUCGAAAACUGCAACUUCAACAGCAACAUCAACAAUAUCAUCGUUGAAAAGCAGUCACUCAUCAGAGGAAACCUGGAGGGUAAUAACUCUGUGUUUUUGAUUUUCAUACUCAUUGUCUGAGAUGUCCUGAAACCCAAUGCAGUGAGAAUGGUUCAUUGUAAAUUCUCAACACAAGGUAU
Molecule: long non-coding RNA, 565 nt
Organism: Rhincodon typus (whale shark)
Lineage: Eukaryota; Metazoa; Chordata; Chondrichthyes; Orectolobiformes; Rhincodontidae
Exons: 3
Source: RefSeq, a predicted model, not a curated record